AUGAAAAUCCUCCACAGCCAUGGUUUAGUGGUCCAACCUGACUCUGGCUUUGUGUUCUUUGUGGCUGAAGUAAUGCUCGACAAGGAGUUCCUGGUGUCCAGAGACAGGGAGAGGAAGCUGCUGAAUAAUCUGGAAGUUGCGACCGCUCAGCUCCACCACCAGGAGCAGCUGAACAUGGAGCUCAGGAUGAAACAGGACCAACUCAUCGGCAGGAUCCACCAGCAACAGGACCUGGUGGACUUGCUGCAGCAGCGUGUGGUCCUGCUGGCAGAGGAGAGCUCCCGGGACGAGCAGCUGCUGCAGCAGGUCGGCUCAGAGCUGCUGUGUCUGCAGAGCUCCGAGGUGAAGCUGGAGAGCCUGGUGGAGGAGCUGCAUGCUGAGGCCCAUCACAGAGCUGUGGUGGCAGAGAGCCUCCAGGCAGAGCUACGCGCUGAGGCCCAGCACAGAGCUGUGCUGACGGAGAGCCUGGAGAUAGAGCUCCACAGUAAGACGAUGGAGCUGGAGGAGCAACAAGACACCAACAAAAUGCUGAUGCAGGAGCUGAAGGAUUUACGCUCUGCUCAUCAGAAGGAGGUGAGGGAGCUGCAGCAGGAGAACGAGGGGAGUCUGAGGAAACUGCAGGAGACAGCAGAGCAGUUUGAGUGGCUCUGUCAGCAGCAGCGCUACUGGAUGUGCUGUGUCAAGAGAUUCAAAGACUGCCUGAUGGAGGAGAGAGAAGCUCUGCUGCGACAGGUCAUCAUGCUGGAGAAGAAGGCUGAGAAACUGAAGAAGAGUUUACACGAUGACAGUCCCCCAAAGAGCGUCCUCUGUCCCCUCCAGGACACUCAGUGCUGUGACAGUAUAACAUCGUGGGAUGCAGAUGCAGAGGCUGACCUCGAGUCUCAAGUGAAGAAGUCAAACACACUGUACGAGGAGCUCUUUAACCAGGCAGGGAGCCCUAUCAACGGAUACCAAAAACCUCCUUGAGGACAGAAGCCUGGAGCCAGGACUCGUCUACUUUUUCUCUUCCCACCUUCUGCAAAUCAGAGGAUAACUACUAGAUGUUUGUGUAUGUGUGGUUGGCUUUGUGGAAUACUUCCCAGUCAUUGUCAAGAAAGAAAGAAAACUUGGAAAAACAUACCUGUGAAAGCAUACAUUCAUUGUUUUUCUUCCACUAUUGUUCACCUGUCUUGAAAAUAAUCUGCUGUCACAAUAUAUGACUGAAUUAAACACUGUAAGUCUGCUCCUGUCCUCCUUUUGCUGUGACACAUGCGCAUCACAUGUGUUCCUAAAGUCAAAUUUUCCUGUAAUUGUCCGUUAUUCAGACCUUGUAAUCCACACCACUAACAAGAGCAAAAGCACCUGAGAAUGCUCUCUUUUGUUGUUUUGCCAAUGAAUCCUCACAGGGGAAGCAGCAGCUGGCGUGCAGAGGAAACAACAAAAGUGUUGUUUAGACCAAAAUGAAGCCCUACUGAUUGUUCCCCCAUUGAGGAUCUGGUACAUUUCGACCCUCAUGAUCAGAUCUCUUCACUUAUCACUUGGCUUUCACUUGUCAGCAAGAAUCUAAAAAGCAUGUGAGGCUCCAUCGCUGUGAACCAUAUGAUGCACACAUGGUGCAAAGGCAACAACAGUUUACAGACAAAGCAAUUGUUUGGGGUAAGCAUGUUGCACGACAUAUGAGCUGCUUAAUCAAUACACCGUGGCUGCGCAUGUUUGGGUGUUGUUGCAUCCAACAGUGAGUUAAAUUUAGUGGUUCUUGAGGAAGUGGCAAUUAAAUGUUGGACUCAGCACUAAAUGCAUUAAACAAAACCGCCAUGUUGCAUCAUAGAUCUUCGUCAGACAUCUAACUAUAAAGCAAGAAUCGAGAACCGUUAAUCCGUUCAACCUUUUUCUGAGGACUGAAGGGGGAACAGUGUCGAGUCUAAAGUUGAUCAGAUGAGUGGUUCUCGACAACGCUGCAAGCAAUCAGGCCGCUCCGAACAGGCACUGCACUAAUUGCAGUCUUGAUAUGUUGCAAUCCUCCAAUGACUUCCUUUUAAUGUGUCUCAUUCAUAUUCAUAUGACUGCAUUUUAUAGACUACAAGAUAUGUUGAUUGAUCUUUCAAAGUUUAAAAGUUAUAUUCAUAUACAACUAAUUUGCAUAAGUUUUAUGAAUGUUUCUUGCACACAAGUCUUAUUGAUUAAAUAGGAUAAAAAAGCAAAUACCACACACUGUUAAUCACUUGUACUCACUUGCCAGUGUCAUUCCACAUCAUUAAUAAAGCAAGUACAAGUGACUAAAAGUAUGUGGGAUUGCCUUCCAACUCUUGAAAAACAUGAAAAGCUGUGUGGUUUGUCUGUUCUAGAGUACUGUAGAAACAUAGAGGUGAAACAUGGCAGAUUCUUAUUUUCAAUUAUACACUAAUGAAAUCAUACCUAUGAAUAUUUGAUUCCUUUUCUGCAAAUAGAGCCUGGUACAUG
RNAcentral lists this long non-coding RNA (2439 nucleotides) under Dicentrarchus labrax (European seabass). RNAcentral's name for it is "lncRNA (ENSDLAG00005028060.1)". The record is from RNAcentral. Lineage: Eukaryota; Metazoa; Chordata; Actinopteri; Moronidae.